AAGAGUUUGAUCAUGGCUCAGAUUGAACGCUGGCGGCAGGCCUAACACAUGCAAGUCGAACGGUAACAGGAAGCAGCUUGCUGCUUCGCUGACGAGUGGCGGACGGGUGAGUAAUGUCUGGGAAACUGCCUGAUGGAGGGGGAUAACUACUGGAAACGGUGGCUAAUACCGCAUAACGUCGCAAGACCAAAGAGGGGGACCUUCGGGCCUCUUGCCAUCAGAUGUGCCCAGAUGGGAUUAGCUAGUUGGUGAGGUAACGGCUCACCAAGGCGACGAUCCCUAGCUGGUCUGAGAGGAUGACCAGCCACACUGGAACUGAGACACGGUCCAGACUCCUACGGGAGGCAGCAGUGGGGAAUAUUGCACAAUGGGCGCAAGCCUGAUGCAGCCAUGCCGCGUGUAUGAAGAAGGCCUUCGGGUUGUAAAGUACUUUCAGCGGGGAGGAAGGUGUUGUGGUUAAUAACCACAGCAAUUGACGUUACCCGCAGAAGAAGCACCGGCUAACUCCGUGCCAGCAGCCGCGGUAAUACGGAGGGUGCAAGCGUUAAUCGGAAUUACUGGGCGUAAAGCGCACGCAGGCGGUCUGUCAAGUCGGAUGUGAAAUCCCCGGGCUCAACCUGGGAACUGCAUUCGAAACUGGCAGGCUUGAGUCUUGUAGAGGGGGGUAGAAUUCCAGGUGUAGCGGUGAAAUGCGUAGAGAUCUGGAGGAAUACCGGUGGCGAAGGCGGCCCCCUGGACAAAGACUGACGCUCAGGUGCGAAAGCGUGGGGAGCAAACAGGAUUAGAUACCCUGGUAGUCCACGCCGUAAACGAUGUCUACUUGGAGGUUGUGCCCUUGAGGCGUGGCUUCCGGAGCUAACGCGUUAAGUAGACCGCCUGGGGAGUACGGCCGCAAGGUUAAAACUCAAAUGAAUUGACGGGGGCCCGCACAAGCGGUGGAGCAUGUGGUUUAAUUCGAUGCAACGCGAAGAACCUUACCUGGUCUUGACAUCCACGGAAGUUUUCAGAGAUGAGAAUGUGCCUUCGGGAACCGUGAGACAGGUGCUGCAUGGCUGUCGUCAGCUCGUGUUGUGAAAUGUUGGGUUAAGUCCCGCAACGAGCGCAACCCUUAUCCUUUGUUGCCAGCGAUUAGG
This 1133-nucleotide ribosomal RNA is filed under the name Salmonella enterica subsp. enterica serovar Paratyphi B. Its description in RNAcentral is "partial 16S ribosomal RNA". It matches the Rfam family "Bacterial small subunit ribosomal RNA", at positions 1 to 1129 of the family's 1533-position model. The record is from RNAcentral. Lineage: Bacteria; Pseudomonadati; Pseudomonadota; Gammaproteobacteria; Enterobacterales; Enterobacteriaceae. RNAcentral also lists the same sequence under 1 other name.